UACGUAGGGGGCAAGCGUUGUCCGGAUUUAUUGGGCGUAAAGAGCGUGUAGGCGGCCAGACAGGUCAGCUGUGAAAACUCGAGGCUCAACCUCGAGACGUCGGUUGAAACCGUCUGGCUAGAGUCCGGAAGAGGAGAGUGGAAUUCCCGGUGUAGCGGUGAAAUGCGCAGAUAUCGGGAAGAACACCCGUGGCGAAGGCGGCUCUCUGGGACGGUACUGACGCUGAGACGCGAAAAGCGUGGGGAGCAAACGGG
This 254-nucleotide ribosomal RNA is filed under the name uncultured bacterium. RNAcentral describes it as "partial 16S ribosomal RNA". It matches the Rfam family "Bacterial small subunit ribosomal RNA", at positions 524 to 776 of the family's 1533-position model. The record is from RNAcentral.